UGUAACUGUAGUCACUGGCCAGCUUAAUAAAGGCUCCUAAAUCUUGAUCUGAGUCCCUGGUGGUUGUCUCUGCGGGUCACCCCAUUACAUUUGGAGGCCCCAGCGAGAUCCACUCCAGCCAAGUUGCCCGUGGACACCCCAGACGCCCCAGGUGAGGACACUCCAGCCUCCGUCCCAGGUCGGCGGAGUGUUUUCCUCCCAAAACUGCAAUCCGAAAAUGACGAGCCACCUGGACCUCCAGCGGGGAGAGUUUUGGAAUUACCGAGGAAGAGCUUGUGAGGAUGUCUGAAAUCCAGGAUUCCAGCAGGGAGGGACACACGAGCCAUGGGAUUGCUUAUGACAUCCCGGCUGCCCCCAACCACCAGCUCAGACCCUUUCCGCUGCGCUUCCGGGAGAUGCUGCUAACCUUUCCGGAGGGUUCUAUGCCCCUUCGCGCUACAAUGCUCCAGAAGGCUGGGCUCCGGAGGCCAGUAAAACUGCCAUGAAAAACGACAUGCAUUUGGUGGGCUCUGACAUGCGGAGAGAAUGGACAUCUGUAUGUUUGUAAUGUCUGUUUUAGAUACAUAGAACUGGGUAUUUAAAUUAGCGUAUUUGUGACUUUAAUGACAUUAAGAUUUACCUUCAAAUGAAAACUCUCAAAAUUCAAAACAACAAACAAACAAAACAAAAAACAACAUGCAUUUUAGGAUGACAUGGAGGGUUCAGCCAUUUCUCCCUCCAAUGGGAAGGGAAAUUUUGAUAAGACACAAAACACUGCUUGGUUUUGCCUCAAGGGACUUACACCCUCAUAGCUCUGGCUCCUCACUUCUCCACAGGAAUUCAAUAAAAUGGCAUGUAACAAUACAAAACAAAAGCAAACAGCAAAGCGCCCUCCACUAAACUAGAUAUAUCCCUACCUCAUGUUACCUUCUAAAAAGUGGCAGAAACCUGGCUUUUGUUGUUGUUGUUAAAUACAGGAGUUAACGCUAAUGUGACUGUUUGAAUGAAGAGAACUGAGUAAAGAUGUUGUCCUACCAAAAUGGAAAUAAAAUUAAUUUCUUGAGACUA
Molecule: long non-coding RNA, 1047 nt
Organism: Myotis daubentonii (Daubenton's bat)
Lineage: Eukaryota; Metazoa; Chordata; Mammalia; Chiroptera; Vespertilionidae
Source: RefSeq, a predicted model, not a curated record